AGCAGCCGCGGUAAUUCCAGCUCCAACAGCGUAUAUUAAAGUUGUUGCAGUUAAAAAGCUCGUAGUUGAAUUUCGGGGUUAGUAGGUUGGUCAUGCCUCUGGUAUGCACUGGCUUUACUGAUUCCUCCUUCUUGAUGAACUGUAAUGUCAUUAAUUUGGUGUUGCAGGGAAUCAGGACUGUUACUUUGAAAAAUUAGAGUGUUUAAAGCAGGCAUACGCUUGAAUACAUUAGCAUGGAAUAAUGAAAUAGGACGUUUGAUCCUAUUUUGUUGGUUUCUAGGAUUGACGUAAUGAUUAAUAGGGAUAGUUGGGGGCAUUAGUAUUCAAUUGUCAGAGGUGAAAUUCUUGGAUUUAUUGAAGACUAACUACUGCGAAAGCAUUUGCCAAGGAUGUUUUCAUUAAUCAAGAACGAAAGUUAGGGGAUCGAAGACGAUCAGAUACCGUCGUAGUCUUAACCAUAAACUAUGCCGACUAGGGAUCGGAUGAUGUUAUUUUAAUGACUCAUUCC
RNAcentral lists this ribosomal RNA (508 nucleotides) under uncultured Glomeromycotina. RNAcentral's name for it is "SSU rRNA". It matches the Rfam family "Eukaryotic small subunit ribosomal RNA", at positions 569 to 1082 of the family's 1831-position model. Lineage: Eukaryota; Fungi; Glomeromycota. The record is from RNAcentral.